Molecule: unclassified non-coding RNA, 240 nt
Filed under: soil metagenome
Description: partial contains 5.8S ribosomal RNA, internal transcribed spacer 2, and large subunit ribosomal RNA
Source: RNAcentral
AACCUAGCACACCUGCGGUGUGUACCUGCGGAAGGAUCAUUACACAAAUUAAAAUAUGAAGGCUUCGGCUGGAUUAUUUUUAUCACCCUUGUCUUUUGCGCACUUGUUGUUUCCUGGGCGGGUUCGCCCGCCACCAGGACCACACCAUAAACCUUUUUUAUGCAGUUGCAAUCAGCGUCAGUAUAACAAAUGUAAAUCAUUUACAACUUUUAACAAUGGAUCUCAGAUCGGAAGAGCACA